This is a long non-coding RNA of Leopardus geoffroyi (Geoffroy's cat), 691 nucleotides long. RefSeq lists it as uncharacterized. NCBI's taxonomy places the organism in Eukaryota, Metazoa, Chordata, Mammalia, Carnivora, Felidae. The record is from RefSeq and is a predicted model, not a curated record. The transcript is spliced from 4 exons.
UCAUACUUCCAAUAAAUGGGAAUGAUCAAGCAUUUUAUCUCUGAGCAGUGAAAAAGUAAAAUGUGUAGCAACAUUGAAAUUCUGACUUAGCUGAGGCACGUUUAAUGACUCGUCUUUGCAGUGUAGCAAAGCAAUGAAGGGCUACAUGAAUUCGGCUUAAAUUUCUGCUCUGCUAUUUAUUAACUUCAUGGCACUGGGUAAAACUUUCACUUUUUAAUCCUCAAUCUCUAACACGGAUGUAACAAUGCAUUCUUUUCAGAGCUGUUGAAGUUAUUAAUCAGACAAUAUGUGUAAAGCUCUUUAAAAGUCAGUGACACAUAACAAAUUCUUUAAUAUGUGAACUGAAUAUUUGUUUCCAGAAUACUAGCCAUAGGGACACCUAAGGGACAAUGUGAUUUAACACUAAAGGCUCUGAAGGACCUGCUAAAUGAGAAGAUAAAACUUGCAGCAGUGCAACACUGAAAUAAAGUACAUCAACGGCAAGGCAGGGGCAACAGAAUCAUCUGCUACAUCUUGACUCCCAAUUCUGAUGGGAAUUUCCAAUAUUGACACCCUAAAAAGGGCAUCUUCUCUUGCUGUGGGCCCCAAUCAAAGCUGUAGCUUUUCAGAUCCUCCGGUAAAUGGUCAAAGCAGGAUACACAGGGAUCAUGUAGCCGAAGGCACUUUGGAAUAAUACAAACCUUAAUUCAAA